CGUGCCUAAUACAUGCAAGUCGAACGAACUCUGGUAUUGAUUGGUGCUUGCAUCAUGAUUUACAUUUGAGUGAGUGGCGAACUGGUGAGUAACACGUGGGAAACCUGCCCAGAAGCGGGGGAUAACACCUGGAAACAGAUGCUAAUACCGCAUAACAACUUGGACCGCAUGGUCCGAGCUUGAAAGAUGGCUUCGGCUAUCACUUCUGGAUGGUCCCGCGGCGUAUUAGCUAGAUGGUGGGGUAACGGCUCACCAUGGCAAUGAUACGUAGCCGACCUGAGAGGGUAAUCGGCCACAUUGGGACUGAGACACGGCCCAAACUCCUACGGGAGGCAGCAGUAGGGAAUCUUCCACAAUGGACGAAAGUCUGAUGGAGCAACGCCGCGUGAGUGAAGAAGGGUUUCGGCUCGUAAAACUCUGUUGUUAAAGAAGAACAUAUCUGAGAGUAACUGUUCAGGUAUUGACGGUAUUUAACCAGAAAGCCACGGCUAACUACGUGCCAGCAGCCGCGGUAAUACGUAGGUGGCAAGCGUUGUCCGGAUUUAUUGGGCGUAAAGCGAGCGCAGGCGGUUUUUUAAGUCUGAUGUGAAAGCCUUCGGCUUAACCGAAGAAGUGCAUCGGAAACUGGGAAACUUGAGUGCAGAAGAGGACAGUGGAACUCCAUGUGUAGCGGUGAAAUGCGUAGAUAUAUGGAAGAACACCAGUGGCGAAGGCGGCUGUCUGGUCUGUAACUGACGCUGAGGCUCGAAAGUAUGGGUAGCAAACAGGAUUAGAUACCCUGGUAGUCCAUACCCGUAAACGAUGAAUGCUAAGUGUUGGAGGGUUUCCGCCCUUCAGUGCUGCAGCUAACGCAUUAAGCAUUCCGCCUGGGGAGUACGGCCGCAAGGCUGAAACUCAAAGGAAUUGACGGGGGCCCGCACAAGCGGUGGAGCAUGUGGUUUAAUUCGAAGCUACGCGAAGAACCUUACCAGGUCUUGACAUACUACGCUAACCUGAGAGAUCAGGCGUUCCCUUCGGGGACGUGGAUACAGGUGGUGCAUGGUUGUCGUCAGCUCGUGUCGUGAGAUGUUGGGUUAAGUCCCGCAACGAGCGCAACCCUUAUUAUCAGUUGCCAGCAUUAAGUUGGGCACUCUGGUGAGACUGCCGGUGACAAACCGGAGGAAGGUGGGGAUGACGUCAAAUCAUCAUGCCCCUUAUGACCUGGGCUACACACGUGCUACAAUGGAUGGUACAACGAGUUGCGAACUCGCGAGAGUAAGCUAAUCUCUUAAAGCCAUUCUCAGUUCGGAUUGUAGGCUGCAACUCGCCUACAUGAAGUCGGAAUCGCUAGUAAUCGCGGAUCAGCAUGCCGCGGUGAAUACGUUCCCGGGCCUUGUACACACCGCCCGUCACACCAUGAGAGUUUGUAACACCCAAAGUCGGUGGGGUAACCUUUUAGGAACCAGCCGCCUAAGGUGGGACAGAUGAUUAGGGUGAAGUCGU
Molecule: ribosomal RNA, 1482 nt
Filed under: Lactobacillus sp. LS8
Lineage: Bacteria; Bacillati; Bacillota; Bacilli; Lactobacillales; Lactobacillaceae
Description: partial 16S ribosomal RNA
Rfam family: Bacterial small subunit ribosomal RNA
Source: RNAcentral